GUCAUUUCAAGUGAGGUUUCCAGGGAUGCACAGAUAUUCUGGCAGAGCAUACAUAAAGCUCUAAGUAGAUAAUUCAGUCAUAUGCCUUAUAGUAUCUGUGCCAUAGACAUUUAGCCCUUAUUUACCCAAAUACUCUGAAACUAUUAGAAACUGGCAUAGAUAACAUAGAUAGCUCAUUGCUUGUAAUACCUGUCAUCUAAUAGUCACUCAGCAAAUGUUCAUUGAAUAAAUAAAUGAGAAAUGUUGAGGUGGGUGAGUCCUUAGGUAUGCAAUAACCCCAUUCUUUUAGCAUGUUCUCAUAGGUGCUAGAUCCUAGAGCUUAUCAAAGAUGUCAUUAAUUUAAGUCCUACUUGAUUUAAUUUUCUCAAGUAGAGUGAGAAAAUUUUAUUUUCCAAUGAAUUAUUUUGGGCUUGAGCAGAUUUCUUAAAGCAUAGGAUAUCUUUUGUAAUAAAAAUUAAAUUCAAAAAAUACUCAAGAUUUGCCCCAGUAGAGACCUCCUUUUAGAUGUGGCUCCUAAACAAUUUGGUUUUUCAUUUUAGGGUGUCCCCACCACCAGUUUGUCUUCCAUUUAGGAUAUGUCUGUAACUACACCUGCUUCAACAAGUCAGCUUCCAAGGGAUACAGUUGCUCCGGGUUAAACUCUGACCCAAGCAUGUGUGUUGUAACCCAAGGCAUUUUUGGAGAGUUAAAGCAAUGAGUGGUAACAAAUAAGAGAGGGAAAAUUUACACAAAAUAACCUAAAUCUAGAUUCUUUGGUUUACAAAAUAUGGCCUAUCUCCAAUAUCUAAGAGUCCCGUCUCUCAGGCAAGGAACCCAGAGCACUUCCACCUUUCAAUUCCUGAAUACGAUUUUCUAUUUCCAGCUCUGAGUUCACAGCUCAAUUCUGCAUUCACAGCUCAAAGCCCAUGAACCAACAUUUAGUCCCAACGGCCGUUUCCUCAUAAAUGCAUUGAGAACUACUGCCAUUGCAAAAGAGUCUUCGAUAUCAUUUUGCAGAUGUACUGCACUUCUUCCCAGGAUGAGAGCGGUAGAGGAGAAGCUUCCAGGAACUGCUCCCAUUUCCUGCUGAUUUCUUCAAAAGGCGGCAUACGGUAGUCAGGAAAUUGCCCAACACUCAGCAAGUCACCAAGAGCAUCUUCCUUCUCCAGUGAUGUGAGGGGGCCAUGGAACAGUGGAGUUGAAAGAACUUCUGCCACAAUCCUUCUGGGUCCAGCUAGCACCCUAGGAGAUGGGUACUUACAAGAACUGGAAGAACAGAGCAUUAAGAAUUGUACAACAGAAGCCCAAGCAAGAAACAGUGAGCGAAGAAUGGAGGGAGUGUACUUGGUCAAACCAAAAAUGGAGGAAGUAAACAGUACUUGGUCAUCCUUGAAGACCCGCCCACGCUGGGCAAGAAUCUGAGUCACCAGUUGCUAGCGUCUGGAGAUGGUUUGCUCCCCAGAGGUUCAUGUGCUGGAGACUGGGUCUCUAGUAUGGUGGUGCUGAGGUAGUAGAACCUUUAAGAGGUGGCAAGUGGGGCCUCAUGGAAGUAAUCACGUCACAGGCCACCACCCUGGGUAGGGACUCAUGGGUGUAUUGUGGGACUGCAUUAAUUCCUGAAGGGACGGAUUGUUACGAGAGUGUGAUGGCCCUGAUCCCUUUUCUGUUUGCAUCGCUUACCACUCUUGCACGUGCUCCCACCAUUGUGAUGCAUCUGCCAAGAGGUCUUCACUAGGGCUGUGCAGAAGCCUGUGCUGUGCUCUGGAACCUCCAGAACUGUUUAUGUGUCUGUGUUGGUGAUAAUGUAAUGGGAAAAGGAUAAAGUCAAAUUCAAAGAACUUGAUCUUCCUGGUUACAUUGGUUGGAUUUUGGAAAUCUGGGAACGGAGCUUUUGGGAUUUCAAGGCAAUGUUGUCUAGAAAAAUAAAUUCCAUAACCUUCAUGCAAUGCUUGAGAAGACAGUGUACGGAAAACACAGAGACACCACAGCGGGUAGUUCUGAAGCAAUGACUGAUGAACCUUUUCAGACUCAAGGACAUAAAGUGAUAAACAACCCAGAAGGAG
Chinchilla lanigera (long-tailed chinchilla) is the source of this 2042-nucleotide long non-coding RNA. RefSeq lists it as uncharacterized. The transcript is spliced from 4 exons. The record is from RefSeq and is a predicted model, not a curated record. NCBI's taxonomy places the organism in Eukaryota, Metazoa, Chordata, Mammalia, Rodentia, Chinchillidae.